RNAcentral lists this ribosomal RNA (933 nucleotides) under uncultured bacterium. RNAcentral's name for it is "bacterial SSU rRNA". It matches the Rfam family "Bacterial small subunit ribosomal RNA", at positions 547 to 1482 of the family's 1533-position model. The record is from RNAcentral.
GNAAUUAUUGGGCGUAAAGAGCUCGUAGGUUGUUUGUCGCGUCGAUUGUGAAAAUCUGAGGCUCAACCUCAGACCUGCAGUCGAUACGGGCAAACUAGAGUGUGGUAGGGGAGACUGGAAUUCCUGGUGUAGCGGUGGAAUGCGCAGAUAUCAGGAGGAACACCAAUGGCGAAGGCAGGUCUCUGGGCCAUAACUGACACUGAGGAGCGAAAGUGCGGGGAGCGAACAGGAUUAGAUACCCUGGUAGUCCGCACCGUAAACGGUGGGCACUAGUUGUGGGAACCUUCCACGGUUUCCGCGACGCAGCAAACGCAUUAAGUGCCCCGCCUGGGGAGUACGAUCGCAAGAUUAAAACUCAAAGGAAUUGACGGGGCCCCGCACAAGCAGCGGAGCAUGCGGCUUAAUUCGACGCAACGCGAAGAACCUUACCAAGGCUUGACAUAUAGCGAAAAGUGGCAGAGAUGUCAUGUCCGCAAGGGCGCUAUACAGGUGGUGCAUGGUUGUCGUCAGCUCGUGUCGUGAGAUGUUGGGUUAAGUCCCGCAACGAGCGCAACCCUCGUUCUGUGUUACCAGCAUUCAGUUGGGGACUCACAGGAGACUGCCGGGGUCAACUCGGAGGAAGGUGGGGAUGACGUCAAAUCAUCAUGCCCCUUAUGUCUUGGGCUGCACGCAUGCUACAAUGGCCGGUACAAAGUGCUGCGAGAUCGUAAGAUUGAGCGAAUCACAUAAAGCCGGUCUCAGUUCGGAUUGAGGUCUGCAACUCGACCUCAUGAAGUCGGAGUUGCUAGUAAUCGUAGAUCAGCAACGCUACGGUGAAUACGUUCCCGGGGCUUGUACACACCGCCCGUCACGUCACGAAAGUCGGUAACACCCAAAGUUAGUGGCCCAACCGCAAGGAGGGAGCUACCUAAGGUGGGAUCGGUGAUUGGGACG